Molecule: ribosomal RNA, 468 nt
Filed under: uncultured bacterium
Lineage: Bacteria
Description: partial 16S ribosomal RNA
Rfam family: Bacterial small subunit ribosomal RNA
Source: RNAcentral
GACGAACGCUGGCGGCGUGCUUAACACAUGCAAGUCGAACGGAAAGGCCCUGCUUUUGUGGGGUGCUCGAGUGGCGAACGGGUGAGUAACACGUGAGUAACCUGCCCUUGACUUUGGGAUAACUUCAGGAAACUGGGGCUAAUACCGGAUAGGAGCUCCUGCUGCAUGGUGGGGGUUGGAAAGUUUCGGCGGUUGGGGAUGGACUCGCGGCUUAUCAGCUUGUUGGUGGGGUAGUGGCUUACCAAGGCUUUGACGGGUAGCCGGCCUGAGAGGGUGACCGGCCACAUUGGGACUGAGAUACGGCCCAGACUGCUACGGGAGGCAGCAGUGGGGAAUAUUGCACAAUGGGCGGAAGCCGGAUGCAGCAACGCCGCGUGCGGGAUGACGGCCUUCGGGUUGUAAACCGCUUGCGCCUGUGACGAAGCGUGAGUGACGGUAAUGGGUAAAGAAGCACCGGCUAACUACGUG